Molecule: long non-coding RNA, 1685 nt
Organism: Macadamia integrifolia
Lineage: Eukaryota; Viridiplantae; Streptophyta; Magnoliopsida; Proteales; Proteaceae
Exons: 3
Source: RefSeq, a predicted model, not a curated record
UCUCAGCUUCUCACAAUGGUUUAUUCCACAUUAGUAGCAUUUCUAAACGUUUCACUAAGCUCCUCUUCCUCUCUUUGUUUUCUGGUCUGAGAAAUCAAAGAGGAAAAAGGUUACUGGUUCGAUCCUUUUCAACCUGAGAGGCUUCUUAUUUGAAAUGGGUCAGGUCCUAUCCAACCUCAUAAGCAUCGUAUUUGGAAGAAAACAGAGAGUAGAGGCAAGUGAUGAAGAGAAUGUAUACCAUGCACUUGAUGAUCACUGUGAAGAGGUUAAGCCAAUUCAUCCUACCUCUGGUUAUGGAAAGACCAGAGUUUCAGAAGAAGAUGAAGGAUCAGUAGUUAUUGUUAUAACUGAUGCUGAUCAAGUCAGAGAAUAUAUCGCACAGCCAUUUCCUCUUGUCUUUGAUGACCCAAACACCAGGGUAUCAGAAGAUGAAUGGGUAACUAUCAUUGUUGACAGUGGUGUUGAGGCUGUAGAAAAGGCUAAACCUGCAACUGAUGCUGAGGUCAGAGUAGAUGCAGAACCAUUUCCUGUUCUCUGUUGACCCGAAGACCAGGGUUUCAGAAUAUGAAAGAGCCAGAGAAGAUCUAGAGCCAUUUCUUCUGGUCUCUGUUGACCCAAAACCCAUUCAGAAGAUGAGAAGGUCAAAGAAGAUGUAGCAGACCCAUUUCCUCUUAUCUCUGGUGACCCAGAGAUCAUAGUUCCAAAAGGUGGUUCAGGAGCAAAGAGAAGGAAAAGAAGAGCCAAGCGAAAAGAAAGAAGAAUUAAGCAUUACUACAGUUCUCACAAGAUACUGCUGGUUGGGGAGGGAGAUUUCUCUUUCUCUGCAUGUUUGGCCAAGGUUUUUGGUUCUGCUAGUAACAUGGUAGCCACUUCUCUCAAUUCAAAAGUUACAAGACAAGUAGCCCUCUAAAUGGUAGCGCCUAUAAUGUAACAUUGGUGUUUCUUAGAGAAAAACUCCAGCAAUGCCAUAUCUAACGUCAAUGGUUUGAAGAGCAAAGGACGUAUGAUUCUUCAUGGGGUGGAUGCAACAAAUAUGUCAGGCCAUCAGCUUCUCAAGGGCAUGAAAUUUGAUCGGAUUGUCUUUAACUUCCCCUAUGCUGGUUUUUUUAAAAAGGAGUCGCGGGUGUCUCAAAUGAGUCGACACCAAAAGCUGGUCACCUUGUUCUUCAAGAAUGCUAAGAAGAUGCUUUCAAAAAAGGGAGAAAUCCAUAUCUCUCACAAGUCAAAUGCGUUCCAUUGUGAAUGGAAUUAAUAUAGUAUCUCUGGCCUCACUUAGUAGCCUCAAUUUUAUAAAAGACGUGAAAUUUAAUUUGAAUGAUUAUCCAGGUUACAAUACUAAAAGAGGGUUUGGAGGAGAUGAGAACUUUGAGUGCAACCCUAGUGAGACUUACAUGUUUGGACUGUGAUAGAGAUCAAUGGAUGAUGAAGAAGUCUCAUAUGAAUAUAUGGGAUUUUCAAGGAAGACAAACAUAGGUUUUAUAAGUAGAAGGCUACAUAAGUAUUGUUGAGCAGUGAUAUGCUUCUUAUGUUAAUAGAUACCAAAUCUUGUAGGUCCUCCCUAAACAUUCCAUUAGUUUGCACAGAUCUUAGUAUUAGUAAGGCUAAAAAUGUUUUCUUGGCAACAAAUAUUUCCGCAAUGAAUGUGGAAGAUAAUUAAUUUGGUUGUUCUAAUUAUUGGAUAGAAA